GGCACGUUUGAGGAUCUUCUAGUUUUCCUCUUCUGGCUAUCGACAGACAGAUUGAAAGAAGAAAAGCUUCCUUCUUUAUUAACGUCUUAGGGAGAAGACAAAGAAAAGCAGGGAAGCCAACUUCAGGCGCGUUUUAGAGAUGGGUUCAGAUGGUGUUUUGCAAAAAGAAAAAAAGAAAAAGGAGAAGAGGCUCUUUAGCUAAAAGGUGAAAGCUUUCUCUGAGUUUU
RNAcentral lists this long non-coding RNA (227 nucleotides) under Carica papaya (papaya). RNAcentral's name for it is "long non-coding RNA (CPAP_LNC010429)". Lineage: Eukaryota; Viridiplantae; Streptophyta; Magnoliopsida; Brassicales; Caricaceae. The record is from RNAcentral.